UGUGUGUAUGUGUCCCUGUAUGUCAUGGCAUACAUGUGGAGGUCAGAAGGCAGCUGAGCCAUCUUGCUGGUACUAAAACAUUACGAUUUUUAAAAUUUCUUUUGUGUGCAUGGUAUGUGUGCAUGCCAUGUAUGCUUGUGGAAUCCAGAGGACAGCAUUUGGGAAUCAGCUCUCUCUUUACAGCAUGUGGUACCUGGGUUUGAACUUGAGCUGACAGGCUUUGUGGCACUGAGCCAUCCCACCAACCCACACAUUCCAGUUUUUUGACCUAUGUACACUAAUUUUUUUUUCUGUAUCCACACAUGAAACCACCACCUGGAUCAAGAUGGAAAAAACCUGAUGUCCCAGAGCCCUCCUUCAACACCUGUCAGCGGCUCAGUGCCAUCAUUGGCUUCCUUCACCUUCCUUUGUGGACUUUGUUGGAAUGGAUUCACACAGUGUGGUCUGACCAUAACCCCUCAGGAUUCCCAUCCUGGAAGCUCAUCCUCAGUGUGGUGGUGUGGUCCUCGAUGUGGUGGUGUGGAGGAGGCAGAACCUCUAAGUGACUCCUUAACUCUUGAAGUACCUAAUGUGAGGUAAUUAGGUCAUGGGGGACUACCCUUGAAGUAGUUAAUGAACUACUUCAGGGU
Molecule: long non-coding RNA, 629 nt
Filed under: Cricetulus griseus (Chinese hamster)
Lineage: Eukaryota; Metazoa; Chordata; Mammalia; Rodentia; Cricetidae
Description: lncRNA (ENSCGRG00000024351.1)
Source: RNAcentral